GUCGCUCAAAACUUUGCACACCUCUACGUAGUGAGCGAAACACAACGGUUGUCUGUACGAACAUAAUCGGCUAAAAUAUAAAG
This 83-nucleotide ribozyme is filed under the name unclassified sequences. RNAcentral's name for it is "HDV ribozyme from F. prausnitzii". It matches the Rfam family "HDV ribozyme from F. prausnitzii". The record is from RNAcentral.